ACCUGCCCACUGAAAUAUUUUAAAUGGCCGCAGUAAUUUGACUGUGCAAAGGUAGCAUAAUCAUUAGUUUUUUAAUUAAAAGCUUGUAUGAAGGGUUGGACGAGAUAAAAUCUGUCUUUAUUUAAAUAAUAUUAGAAUUUAAUUUUUAAGUUAAAAAGCUUAAAUAUAUAUAAAAGACGAGAAGACCCUAUAGAUCUUUAUAUUAUUAUAAUUUAAUUUUAAUUAAGAAUAUUUAAUUUUUUAUUUUAUAUAAUAUUUUAUUGGGGUAAUAAAAAGAUUAAAUUAAUUCUUUUAAAGUUUUACAUUAAUUAUUGAGUUUAUGAUCCAUAUUUUUUGAUUAUAAGAUUAAGUUACCUUAGGGAUAACAGCGUAAUUUUUUUAGAGAGUUCAUAUCGAUAAAAAAGUUUGCGACCUCGAUGUUGGAUUAAAAAUUGUUUUAGGCGUAGAAGUUUAAAGAUUUGGUCUGUUCGACCAUUAAAUUUUU
RNAcentral lists this ribosomal RNA (484 nucleotides) under Papuadytes sp. MB257. RNAcentral's name for it is "partial 16S ribosomal RNA". The stretch from base 361 to 484 matches the Rfam family "Bacterial large subunit ribosomal RNA", at positions 2473 to 2597 of the family's 2925-position model. The record is from RNAcentral. Lineage: Eukaryota; Metazoa; Arthropoda; Insecta; Coleoptera; Dytiscidae.